AGGGUAGGUGACCAGGUCCAGGGUAGGUUCGCCAAAUCCGUCAAUCCGGCUUGAAUCGAAGGACAGGUCUAGGGUAGGCCAGAGUCGGGUCUAGGGUAGGCAACUCUCACCCUCGAAGUGGUCUACCCGGUAGCCAACUUCAAUCGCCUCUCACGGCCGCCACGGACCUCGCAUGACGACGGGACUACCACCAUCGGAUUUGCCUUGGUCGAAAUAGCUGGUAUAUGCACUUUUGAAAAAAUGCGUGCAAAAUGGUUUUGUGGUUUGGUGGCCGUGAGUCGAUUUUUUUGUUUUCCCAUACAAAUGAAUUUUGCGGAAAAUAAAAAGUGGCCCACGAGGCAGUCCUGGCGUGCGGCCCACUAAAACGGUCUCGGAGGGUAUAUGAGAAGGGAGCAAAUCCGGCCGAGCCUGAAAGGGUGAGGACAAACCGGGCGAGCAACCUCUCAGUAUCAGAUCUUGCAGACUUCCACUGCGUGUCCCUCUGUACAGCUUUGCAGGCUCCGGCCUCGGCAGCGGGGGGUUCAUAGUGGUCGUCGACCUCCACGAAACUGCACGCUCCGGCGUGACAGCGUACUGGGGAUGCCUGUGUAGAUGCAGUCCGGGCUUGCCUGGACCGCUAGCAGAUGGGCUCUGUGGAUGACUGGCCGCUGGCUAGACCUGAAACCUGAGCAACGGGAGGUAACCUCUCGCCGCGGACACCGGAAUGGUAGAAGCGGCGUGCUGCGUCCUCCUCUUGGGGCCCCUAAGCCACACCUCCCACAGCGGGUUCGGUGCGGCGGACGGACGCCCUGGGGAAUUUAGAGGGGGAAAGCGGAUUGCCCUAGCGGUGUUGUUGGCCCUGCCGACCUCACUGCGAAAGGCGCGACUUCACCGUCGCCACCCAGUAACUUUCUCUCCGGCGCUUCACGG
Molecule: unclassified non-coding RNA, 909 nt
Filed under: Fusarium oxysporum
Lineage: Eukaryota; Fungi; Ascomycota; Sordariomycetes; Hypocreales; Nectriaceae
Description: partial contains 28S ribosomal RNA, 28S-18S ribosomal RNA intergenic spacer, and 18S ribosomal RNA
Source: RNAcentral